UAAACGACUCUCGGCAACGGAUAUCUCGGCUCUCGCAUCGAUGAAGAACGUAGCGAAAUGCGACACUUGGUGUGAAUUGCAGAACCCCGUGAACCAUCGAGUCUUUGAACGCAAGUUGCGCCCGAAGCCAUUAGGCCGAGGGCACGCCUGCCUGGGCGUCACAC
This 164-nucleotide ribosomal RNA is filed under the name Rubus incanescens. RNAcentral's name for it is "5.8S ribosomal RNA". It matches the Rfam family "5.8S ribosomal RNA". Rfam says of the family: 5.8S ribosomal RNA (5.8S rRNA) is a component of the large subunit of the eukaryotic ribosome. It is transcribed by RNA polymerase I as part of the 45S precursor that also contains 18S and 28S rRNA. Functionally, it is thought that 5.8S rRNA may be involved in ribosome translocation. Lineage: Eukaryota; Viridiplantae; Streptophyta; Magnoliopsida; Rosales; Rosaceae. The record is from RNAcentral.